This 478-nucleotide ribosomal RNA is filed under the name uncultured bacterium. RNAcentral describes it as "partial 16S ribosomal RNA". It matches the Rfam family "Bacterial small subunit ribosomal RNA", at positions 28 to 507 of the family's 1533-position model. The record is from RNAcentral.
GACGAACGCUGGCGGCGUGCUUAACACAUGCAAGUCGAACGGGAUUUAGUAGACAGAAGCCUCGGCUAAAGAUUACUAAUGAGAGUGGCGAACGGGUGAGUAACGCGUGAGCAACCUGCCUAUGACAGUGGGAUAGCCUCGGGAAACCGGGAUUAAUACCGCAUAAAAUCGUAGAAACACAUGUUUUAACGGUCAAAGAUUUAUCGGUCAUAGAUGGGCUCGCGUCUGAUUAGCUAGUUGGUGAGAUAACAGCCCACCAAGGCGACGAUCAGUAGCCGGUCGGAGAGGGUGAACAGCCACAUUGGAACUGAGACACGGUCCAAACUCCUACGGGAGGCAGCAGUGGGGAAUAUUGCACAAUGGGGGAAACCCUGAUGCAGCGACGCCGCGUGAACGAAGAAGGUAUUCGUAUCGUAAAGUUCUGUCCUAUGGGAAGAUAAUGACAGUACCAUAGAAGAAAGCUCCGGCUAACUACGUG